CUUCACACGACGGGGCGUCCGGCGCCCACACACACACACACACACACACACACGGGUGAGUGGGUGGGGCACGGACAACCCCACAGGCGCCCGGGGGUUCCCACCCCCCAACACAGGCACGGGGCACACACGCGCUCGCUCGCACACGGCCACGGACCGACUGGCCGGCGAUGGCCACCGAGUAAGCCCCCCUCCCGACGGCCGCGGUGAGAGGGGCUGGACCGCGACGAGGCACGGGGGCCCCGCCCCAUGGGGGGAAGCGGAGCCUGGGGGAGAAGGGACUCCUCCUCCCCACCGGCCCGACCGCCCCGACCCCAAGGCGGACGGGCGACCCCCCCUAGGGGUCUUUAAACCUCCGCGCCGGGACGCGCUAGGUACCUGGAGAGAGGGAGGCGGGCGAGGCGGGGCAGGGAGGGGGGGAAAGCGCCGCACCCAGGCGCCCCCAACGACCGCCGGCCCUGACGACGGGUAACGAACUCCGUCCGUCGCGCGGCCCGCCCUCGGAACGCGGGUCUUACGUGGCACUGACGGCCCGUGACGCGGGAGCCACUCGGCCGCCGGCCGACCACCGCCCCCACCGCAAAGCAGCGCCGCCGCCGCCGCCGCGAGGGCAGGGAGAGAGGGCCCGGGCCAAGCGGCGGCAGGAUCGGAGCAGUGGAGCGGAGGCAUGGAGGACCAACGGCCGGGAGAAAACCCGGCCCAGAGCCGGCGGCGGGAGGGCAAAGCCCAUCCCGAGACGCGCCGAAAACACCACGGGGCAGCCAAGGCCGCGCGACCGGAGACAGAGACGCGCGGGGGGGUGGGGGGGCAGGGCACGGCCCGGCCCCCCCCCAAAAAGCCCCGGAUCAACCCUCGGACCCGCCUCUCGGCGACGUGGCGGGGAGGUCAGGCGGAAGAGAAACGCCGGAAUGCGUGCAAGCACUACACGGGGCGUCGGGGGGCGGGGGGGGGACUCACCUGGCCGGGGGUUGGUGCCCUUGUCGGGUCACCCGGGGGUGGGAGGAAAGCGGAGAGAGAGGCUGCUCUGGGGGAGUGUGGAUGGCAUCCGAGGGACCGGGGUCAGGCGGCUUGGCCGUUCCUUUCCCCGGCCUGCUCCCCCCACCACGCGCCUUCUCCUCCUCCUCCCCCCCGGCGAUCCCGGCUGCCACCGCCCCCGUCCCACCCCCCCCCGACGCCCCGUGUAGUGCUUGCACGCAUUCCGGCGUUUCUCUUCCGCCUGACCUCCCCGCCACGUCGCCGAGAGGCGGGUCCGAGGGUUGAUCCGGGGCUUUUUGGGGGGGGCCGGGCCGUGCCCUGCCCCCCCAACCCCCGCGCGUCUCUGUCUCCGGUCGCGCGGCCUUGGCUGCCCCGUGGUGUUUUUGGCGCGUCUCGGGAUGGGCUUUGCCCUCCCGCCGCCGGCUCUGGGCCGGGUUUCCUCCCGGCCGUUGGUCCUCCAUGCCUCCGCUCCACUGCUCCGAUCCUGCCGCCGCUUGGCCCGGGCCCUCUCUCCCUGUCCUCGGCGGCGGCGGCGGCGGCGGCGCUGCUUGCGGUGGGGGCGGUGGUCGGCCGGCGGCCGAGUGGCUCCCGCGUCACGGGCCGUCAGUGCCACGUAAGACCCGCGUUCCGAGGGCGGGCCGCGCGACGGACGGAGUUCGUUACCCGUCGUCAGGGCCGGCGGUCGUUGGGGGCGCCUGGGUGCGGCGCUUUCCCCCCCUCCCUGCCCCGCCUCGCCCGCCUCCCUCUCUCCAGGUACCUAGCGCGUCCCGGCGCGGAGGUUUAAAGACCCCUAGGGGGGGUCGCCCGUCCGCCUUGGGGUCGGGGCGGUCGGGCCGGUGGGGAGGAGGAGUCCCUUCUCCCCCAGGCUCCGCUUCCCCCCAUGGGGCGGGGCCCCCGUGCCUCGUCGCGGUCCAGCCCCUCUCACCGUGGCCGUCGGGAGGGGGGCUUAUUCGGUGGCCAUCGCCGGCCAGUCGGUCCGUGGCCGUGUGCGAGCGAGCGCGUGUGUGCCCCGUGCCUGUGUUGGGGGGGUGGGAACCCCCGGGCGCCUGUGGGGUUGUCCGUGCCCCACCCACUCACCCGUGUGUGUGUGUGUGUGUGGGCGCCGGACGCCCCGUCGUG
Molecule: long non-coding RNA, 2094 nt
Filed under: Sus scrofa (pig)
Lineage: Eukaryota; Metazoa; Chordata; Mammalia; Artiodactyla; Suidae
Description: lncRNA (ENSSSCG00000056698.1)
Source: RNAcentral